Molecule: long non-coding RNA, 37931 nt
Filed under: Malus domestica (apple)
Lineage: Eukaryota; Viridiplantae; Streptophyta; Magnoliopsida; Rosales; Rosaceae
Description: long non-coding RNA (MDOM_LNC009896)
Source: RNAcentral
CUUGGACGAUGGCCGUUAUCAAAAUUUCAUUUUAGCAUUUGAUGUGGACAGUGAGUUAUUUCACGAGAUAAAGGUGCCAAAGAGUUUUAGACAGGAUAAACCAUUAGAUUAUCACCUGUCUGUUUCAGGUGAUGGAAACUCCAUUGCUGUGUUCACGAUGCCGCGGGGUCGUAAUUGUACUGAGGAUUUUCUUGACAUAUGGGUGAUGACAGAGUAUGGCAUCGAGGAUUCAUGGGCCAAACUGAUAACUCUAAGUCCACCGGAUCCAGAAAGCAGGGUGCCCUACAAGCCCUUAUGUUUUAGGAAGAGGGGUGAAGUAGUGUUGGUAUCGACUGAUGACUAUGGCAAUAUGCAUGAAUUAGUUUCUUUAGACCUUGUGAGCAAACAAUUUAAAAAUCUUGGGAUUCGCGGAUAUGGAUAUUACUAUGCUGAACCUUAUGAGGAGAGCCUCGCCUUACUUGACAAUGUCGAUGCAGUUUCUUACAGAGGAGCAGAUCAGGUAAUGUUAUAUCUAGCAUUGGUCUUCCUUUUUGUUUGGAUUUUCUUCUUGUUAUAUAUUUACGUCCAAGGUUCCAACUGUGUGUGACAUGAUAUGAGCUUUAACCCCAGAACAAAGUUAUAUGUGUGUUAAUUUGUUACUUGAUUUAAUUACGCAUAGCUUGCUGAAGUGUAAUCGUUGACAUCAUUCAUUCGCCCUUCGUGCAGGUAGAAAAAGAUGAGGCAGAUAGAUUUCAAGUCCUUGACGAUGCCGUUGUAAUGAAUGUGCUCAAUCUGCUGCUCAGUCAUCGUUUAUCUUGACUAUAUCACUUGUAUUUUGACGUCGACUAGUAAAAAGACGUCGCAUGUGUUGUGCUAGGAUAGCACCAAACCCGUUGGAACCAACUCAAGCUAACCCACAGGAAAUUUAUCAAAUGAAAAUGCAAGAACAAAAUAUUAAAGAACACCAAGAUUUUAACGAGGUUCCUCAACAGUCAGUGUAACUGGAGUACGUCCUCGGAGCAGUAGGAGCUCACCCAAUAAUCCACUAUCAACCAAAUGGGAGUUUACAAAGUGUUGGCAAUCUCACAACCCAAAUAACCCAAUACACCCAAUAUCUCUCACACACCAAAGAAACAAAUAGAAGAAGAAAUAUAAUGAAUAAGUUAUUCUCUAUACAUAUAGCUCAAAGCUAUUACAACAACACCUAUUUUGGUGGAUGAUUACUAACCAAAUGAAGCAGCAGCUUCUUCUUCCUUUUGGGCUCUCUGCAGAAAAAAACUCUAACUUCUCUCUGCAGCUCUCUCUUCUCUCUUCAGCUCUCUCAACUGAAAAAUGAGAGUUGCAUCUCUUUUCUUCUAUCCGAAACAAACCUCAAUAAUUAUGGUUAAUAAAAAAACCACAAAAGAAAAAAAAACAUCAUCAUGAUGUCUCCUCAUCAUGAUGUUUCCUCAUCAUUUUGUCUUUCUUUUUCUUUUGCUUUUUUUAAUAGCCGAAAGUAUUGGCCAUAAUUCAACAAUCUCCACCUUGGCCAAAUUUCGAAAACACCAUGAUAAGCCACCAACACAAUCAACACAAAAAAAAUCACUCCCAAACACUAGCAAGAGAACAACUCAUGCCGAGCCAAAUGCUCCAAAACUCCUACUACUCAACGCCUUCUUUAUAUAGGCAAAAUGUGAGCCAAGUUCAAACAAUGAACAAACUUGGCUACACCAACAACCUUAGUCAACAUAUCAGCGGGGUUGUCUUUAGUUGGAAUCUUCUGGAGAAUGAUUUCCCCUUCACCAACAAUUUCACGAACAAAGUGAUAACGCACAUCUAUGUGCUUGGUCCUCGCAUGAUGAACCUGAUACUUAGCCAAAUAAAUGGCACUCUGACUAUCACAAUGUACCUCCACCUGCUUCUGAUCAACCCCCAAAUCUCUAAUCAGCCCAUGUAUCCAAAUGGCCUCCUUUAUAGCUUCAGCAACUGCCAUAUAUUCAGCCUCUGUAGUAGACAAGGCAACAGACGACUGCAAAAUAGACCUCCAACAAACUGGUCCUUUAGCCAUAGUAAACACAUAGCCUGUAGUAGACUUCCUACCAUCCAGAUCACCUGCAUAAUCUGAAUCAACAUAACCAACUGCAAAAUGACCAAUACCAGAGUCAUCUCUCUCAAAGCAUAAACCAACAUCUUGAGUACCAUGGAGAUACCUCAAUAUCCACUUAACUGUUUGCCAAUGCUCUUUACCUGGAUUAUGCAUAUAUCGACUCACCAUGCCAACUGCAUGAGCAAUAUCCGGUCUAGAGCAUACCAUUGCAUACAUCAAACUACCAACCAAAUUUGCAUAUGGUAUAUUUUUCAUUUGCAGCUUCUCUUUAUCAGUUUUAGGACACUGUAAAGAACUCAAUUUAAAAUGAGGAGCCAAAGGGGUACUAACCGGUUUGGUUGAAUCAUGAACUCCAAAUUUCCGAAUCAACUUUUCAAGAUAUUGUCUUUGAUUCAAACUGACCAAACCCUUCUCUCUAUCUCUAGUGAUCUCCAUGCCAAGGAUCUUCUUCGCUUCACCAAGAUCCUUCAUCUCAAACUCAUUCUUCAUUUGCUUCUUCAAUUUCUCAAUCUCUUCAACAUUCUUUGAGGCAAUCAACAUAUCAUCAACAUAUAUCAACAAAUAAAUGAAAGACCCAUCUUGCAACUUCUUGAAGUACACAAAAUGAUCAUAUUGACUUCUAGAAUAAUUUUGGCCUCUCAUAAAUUUAUCAAACCUCAAAUACCAUUGCCUUGGAGAUUGCUUCAAGCCAUAUAGUGAUUUCUUCAAUUUGCAAAACAAGUUCUCCUUCCCUUUCAUUAUAUACCCAUCCGGUUGACACAUAUAGAUCUCUUCAUUCAAAUCACCAUGUAGGAAAGCCGUCUUCACAUCGAGUUGCACAAGCUCAAGAUCAUAUUGUGCAACAAGGGCUAACAUAAUACGAAUUGAGGAGUGCUUCACAACUGGAGAAAAUAUUUCAUUGUAGUCAAUGCCCUCCUUUUGUGCAUACCCUUUAGCAACUAAUCUUGCUUUAAAUCUCACAUUGCUUUUCUCAUCAUCAUCUUCCUUCUUGGCAUACACCCAUUUGCAACCAAUAGCUUUCUUGCCCUUAGGCAAUUUAGCUAACUCCCAAGUCUUGUUCUUCAAGAGAGAAUUCAUCUCAUCACCCAUGGCAUUGCACCACCUCUUCUUCUCCUCACUCUCAAUAGCUUCCUCAAAAUUGGAUGGAAUCUCUUCAGUGAUAAUAGGAAGAGCAAAAGCAACAUAGUCACUAUACCGAGCUGGCUUGGUAAUUUGUCUCUUUCCUCUGUUCUUGGCAAUAGACUCUUGAGGUGAAACUUGCUCUUCAACUUGAAUAGAAUCUUCAAGUUCAACUUCUUCAACAUCCUCAUGGUCUCCAACUUCCUCACUUGUAGUGGCUUCGACAUCAGCGGAAAUAGGAUUUGAAGUACCAGAGGCAACUUUCUCAAGCUCCACCUGUUGGACAUUUUUCACAUUCUUCUCAGAGCCUUUGUACAUACUUUCUUCAUCAAAUGUCACAUCUCUGCUGAUUACAAGUUUCUUCAAUUCUGGGCACCACAACCUGUAACCUUUGACACCACUACUAAAACCAAGAAAGAUAGCCUUUUUGGCUCUAGGAUCAAGUUUAUUUUCAGUUACAUGAAAAUAAGCAGGUGAACCAAAAAUAUGAAUAUGAUCAUAAUCAGAAGAAGGUUUUCCAGUCCAUACCUCCAUUGGUGUCUUACCCUGAACAGCAGCUGAGGGUAACCGGUUGAUGAUGUGACAUGCAUAAUUAACUGCCUCUGCCCAAAAUGACUUGCUUAAACCCGAUUGAGACAACAUACAUCUAACCUUCUCAAGCAAGGUUCGAUUCAAUCUUUCUGCAACUCCAUUUUGUUGUGGAGUUCCUCGAACACUGAAAUGUCUCACAAUUCCUUCCUCUUUGCAAACUUUAAAGAAAGGAUCGGAUGUGUAUUCACCACCAUUAUCCGAUCUCAAAAUCUUAAUCUUUCUCCCAGUCUGAUUCUCAACCAUUUUCUUCCAACCCAAGAAAAUGCACAACACCUCACUCUUGUGCUUCAUAGUGUAGACCCAAGACCUUCUUGAAUAAUCAUCAACAAAUGUCACGAACCAAUGUCUACCACUCAAAGAGGGAGUCUUUGUAGGACCCCAAACAUCCGAAUGCACAUAAUCAAGAAUGCCCUUUGUCUGAUGUACAGCAGUACCAAACUUCACUCUAGUUUGUUUCCCCAAGACACAAUGCUCGCAGAAAUCAAGCUUACAAGUCGUGGCACCUUUUAGAAGACCUUGUUUCACAAGCCCUUGUAGAGCUUUCUCACCGGCAUGGCCUAAUCUCAUAUGCCACAGUCUAGUAGUAUCUGAAUCAGAUGUGCCCAUAUUUUCAGAGACUACAGAUGCUUCACCUGUCACAGUGCUUCCCUGCAAUAAAUACAAAUGACCACAUCUAGGAGCUUUCAUCACAACAAGUGCACCAUAAGUAACUUUCAAUGUCUGUCCAUCUGAAUGAAACCUGAAACCCUUGGAUUCCAAAGUACCCAAAGAAAUAAGAUUUUUCUUCAAAUUCGGUACAUACCGAACACCUGUCAACUCUUUAACCAUGCCAUCAUGCAACUUCAAACGAACUGUACCAAUCCCUUUUGUUGUGCAAGGAUUGUCAUCUCCCAUGAACACAACGCCACCAUCAAACUCUUUCAAGCUUGAAAACCAAUCUUUGUGAGGAGUCAUAUGAUGAGUACAACCCGUAUCUAACACCCACUUAGUAGCACAAUCAAAUGAUGAGGAAGUGGUUAAAGCAAAAUCAGAAAAAUCUGUUUCAACCUCAGCAACAUUAGCUUCAGAACUUUCUUUUCCUUUGGUCUUCAACUUAGGACAAUCUUUCUUCCAAUGGCCCUUAUUAUGACAAAAGGCACAUUCAUCCCUUUCUAAAUGUUUUCUACCUUUAGAGUUUCCUCUAGGUCGAGACUGUGAUUUUUUCCUACUAGUAGAGGACCUCCUCUCCGAUGAUCUACCUCUAACAAAUAAAGCUUCAGAGGUACUAUCAUGAUUUUUAUCUCUAUGCCUCAUUUCAUAAUUCAUCAAGGCAUUUGACACAUCUUCAAAUUUCACAGUUUCUUUACCAUGCAUAAUAGUGGUAACAAAAUGCUCAUAAGAGUCCGGCAAUGAAUUCAACAAUAUUAAGGCCUUAUCUUCAUCCUUAAUAUCCUCAUCUAAAUUUAACAAGUCGGCAAUCAACUUAUUAAAAGCAUCAAGGUGUCUAAUCAUUUUUGUACCUUCUUUGUAUUGGAAGCGGUAGAGCUUUUUCUUCAAGUGUAGCCGGUUCUCUGCAUUCUUCGUCAUAUACUUGUCUUCCAAUUUUUGCCACAACACACUUGCUACCGUCUCCCACAUCACAAAAUACUUCUGAGUUUUUGCAAGGCACAACCGAAUUGAAGAGCAAGCCCACAAAUUUAAUUUCUCCCAUUCCGACUUCGACAUAGCUUCCGGUUUUUCUCCCAAAACGGCAAGUAGAUCUUGUUGAGCCAACACAUCUUUAACCUCACAUUGCCACAUCCCGAAGUUGUUUGUGCCAUCAAACUUUUCCACUUCGAACUUUGCAUUUUGCACCGUAGUUCUUGCAAACCCGGAGGUGCUUCCAAAAGGAUUUUCAUCUUGCCCAUCUGACAUCUUUGGCAACUAGACAGUACCCAAGAGCAACCAGUGCUCUGAUACCAAUUGUUGUGCUAGGAUAGCACCAAACCCGUUGGAACCAACUCAAGCUAACCCACAGGAAAUUUAUCAAAUGAAAAUGCAAGAACAAAAUAUUAAAGAACACCAAGAUUUUAACGAGGUUCCUCAACAGUCAGUGUAACUGGAGUACGUCCUCGGAGCAGUAGGAGCUCACCCAAUAAUCCACUAUCAACCAAAUGGGAGUUUACAAAGUGUUGGCAAUCUCACAACCCAAAUAACCCAAUACACCCAAUAUCUCUCACACACCAAAGAAACAAAUAGAAGAAGAAAUAUAAUGAAUAAGUUCUUCUCUAUACAUAUAGCUCAAAGCUAUUACAACAACACCUAUUUUGGUGGAUGAUUACUAACCAAAUGAAGCAGCAGCUUCUUCUUCCUUUUGGGCUCUCUGCAGAAAAAAACUCUAACUUCUCUCUGCAGCUCUCUCUUCUCUCUUCAGCUCUCUCAACUGAAAAAUGAGAGUUGCAUCUCUUUUCUUCUAUCCGAAACAAACCUCAAUAAUUAUGGUUAAUAAAAAAACCACAAAAGAAAAAAAAACAUCAUCAUGAUGUCUCCUCAUCAUGAUGUUUCCUCAUCAUUUUGUCUUUCUUUUUCUUUUGCUUUUUUUAAUAGCCGAAAGUAUUGGCCAUAAUUCAACAGCAUGUACUCCGGAUUUUCUCCGGAUGCCUUGUGAUAUAUGCCGGAUGCUGGCUAGAGGAGAACAUUUUUCCUUCAGUUUGUCUGCUAAUUUACAGUCCUAGAAGAAGUUACUUAUCAUAACAUGUUGCCAAUGUUCAUGGAUAUAUACCGUUAUAUUAAUGAGUUUCUUUGAAAUUGUUUGUGAUAUUUUCGUGCCAAAUAGGACGAGAAGAAAAUUGCAUAUCUCAGUUUUUUAGCUCUCAUAAAGAUUUAUGUCUCUCUCGUUGCGAAACUUAUACUAUAAUUUUUGCUCCUAUGGUCUAUCAAAAUAAUAAUAUUUCAGUAGAUACUUAGUAGUUUAUUACCGUAAAUUUUGUGUUCAACUGAAAGCAGGGAGAACAAUGUGUACCUUUUUCUUUUCUUUUUUCCCAAUGAAUUUUUUAACUUCUUCCUCUACAACUAGGGGUGGGCAAUUGGAACCGAAAACCGAAACCGAAACACGAAUCGAAUCGAACCGCACCAAACGGUUUGGUUUUGCGGUUUUGAAACGGUUUCGGUUUCAAAACCAAACCGUGGCACACAAAACGGUUUGGUUUCGGUUUUGGGUUUUCAAAACCGCACCGAAACCAAAACCGCACCGUAUAAUAAAUAAUAAAACAAAUGUUAUAUAACUUAUAAUUUAAACUUUUCAACUAGGUUAUAACUUAUAGGUUUGGUUUUGCCGUGGGUUUGCACUUUGACUUAACUGCUUCUGCUUGCAUCUCUACUUCUGCCUUUGCAAUUGCAUUUUUGUUGCAUUAUUUUUUAGUGCAAUUUUGUGCAGUUUUGGUGCAGUUUUUGGUGCAGUUUUGCUGCUGUUUUUUAUGCAGUUUUGCUGCAUUUUUUUGGUGCAGUUUUGUGCAGUUUUGGUGCAGUUUUUGGUGGUGUUUGGGUGCAGUUUUUGGUGGUGUUUUGCUGCAGUUUUUUUUCUUCAGUUUUGACUCUUUUUUGCUGCAAUUUUACUGCAUAUUCAUUAAUUAAUAUACGAGGAAAAUAAGACCGUUUUAUGCAUAAAUAGGUGUAUAUUUUAAAUUGUACAUUUUUUUUCUCAAAAACCAAACCGAAACCGUUUGAAACCGCACCGCACCGAACCAAACGGUUUGGUUUUAUUUCGGUUUUGGCUUCAAAACCGCACCGCAAAAUGUUUCGGUUUCGGUUGUGGUUUCACUCGAAACCGCACCGCGCCCACCCCUAUCUACAACCCUUGCAUGUAGGUUUGGCAGUAAAAGAAGAGUUUCAGCGCAAUUAAAAUAAGGUUUUUUUAGCCAAAAUGGUCCCUGAAAUUUCAAAUCAAUAGAAGUGAUCCAUGAGAUUGUCUACUAUCCAUCAUUUUGGUCAUUCCGUUAAAAACUCCUUUAAGUGUCCCGGAGCUGUUGGCCGGAAGUUUUGGCAAUUUUCAAAGCUUCGUAACUCAAUCGUUUCUUAACCAAAUUUGACCCAUAAUAUAUCAAAAUGAAGAUAGGAAAGUGUAGAAUAAGAUUAUAACUAUUUAGAAGCCCAAUGGUUGCCGGAGAUGGUCGGAAAAUAGCCUCAAAGUUGACUGGUCCGAGGGAAAACUGGAAAACUGGCCGGAAACUGGGUAAACUUUAAAAGUUCAUAACUUCUUCAAUACUCAACGAAAUCAAGUGAUUCAAAAACAAAAAUCAUACUUCUCAAUGAGACAAAGAGAAUGGAACCUUUUUCAAUGGCUAACUCGCAGUGGUUUGGCCGAAAAACGGCUCAAAAUUGGCUAACUCGAGCCUAAGGCAGCCACUUUCGAGCCGUUUUCCGGCCAAACCACGGCGAGUUAGCCAUUUCAAAAGAUACCAUUCUCUUUUUCUCAUCGAGAAGUAUGAUUUUCAUUUUUGAAUCACUUGAUUUCGGUGAGUAUUGAAAAAGUUACGAACGUUUAAAAUCUACCCAGUUUUCCAGUUUUUCCUCGGACCAGUCAACUUUGAGGCUAUUUUCUAAUCAUCUUCGGCAACCAUUGGGCUUCCAAAUAGGUAUAAUCUUAUUCUACACUUUCCUAUCUUCAUUUUGAUAUAUUAUGGUCGAAUUUGGUUAAGAAAGAUUGAAUUACGAAGCUUUGAAAAUUGCCCAAACUUUCGGCCAAGAGCUCUGGGACAUUUAACGGAAUUUUUAACGAAAUGACCAAAAUAAUGGAUGGUGGCCAAUCUCAGGGACCAAAGUGAGGAGUUAUACAAAUCUCAGGGAUCAUUUUGGCUAAAAAGCCUUAAAAUAAUGGCGAACUAGUCUUUCGUUUUUUUAUGAACAAUAGGAUAAUCUACACUAAAUUAUUUUUUCGUCUUUUGUUAAAGGAUACAUUAAUUGAAAAAAAAAAACUUGAAGUGUUUGGGAUCAUUUAAAUUCCAAUUUCAAUAUAGCUAUUGGUUUAAGUAACAUAAUUUUUAGUUUAGGUACCAAUGAAAAAAAUCAACUAAAAUAAUUCUAUAAAUACUAUUAUAAUUCAAAAUAAUUAUAUAAUUGCUACGUUUUCCGACCAGCCAACUGUAUUCGCAACCACCUCACCCUUACUGUCAAUCUUAAUAACCAGGUUUCGACUAACCUCCUUGUACGGCAUUGUGUUUGCAUACAUGAGCCAAGGGAGGAGCAUUACUAUUUGCAUAUGAUAAAUAACCAUGUUUUUUAUGAGUACCGUUGGCUAGAAUUUCCAAUCAUUCCGAAGGGAUAAUCAAUCAAUUGCUUAUUAAAUAUUAUUUUCUCUAUUCUUAAUGUAAAUUUUAUAAUGACCGAUUUUAUUAUGUUAAUUACUUUAAUUAGUUUAUUAGAGGUUUCUUCUAGUAUAAUAUAAGAAUAUUUAUUUAUUUCCAAUAUUUAACUUUCCUUUUAUCAAUUUAUGCAUAUAAAUACAUUUAAAACGUGUAAGUCGCGCGUAGCACGUCGUGAUUCAAAAAAUGUCCUCUGCAUAAAGGCUAGUAAAGAGAAAGUAAAAAGAGGAAUCUGUCUUUUUGGGCAGAAAGAGGAAGACUUGUUAUAGUCUUUCAACACCUAAUCAUCAUCGCAAUUUGAAGAGCCUCGACUAGAUAAGAAGACGUCGCAUGUACUCGGGAUUUUCUCCGGGAUGCCUUGUGAUAUUCUGAUAUUGCUGCUGGAAAUAAAUGUUGGAACUUGUGAGUGGGACUUAGUCCCACAUCGCCCAAACACAUGGUGGAAGUCCACUUUAUAAGUCUUUUCCUUCCUUUAUGGUUUGAAAAGAAUUGGUCCAAAGCUAUGGACAUUGGCCUUACAAAUGGAGGUUUGAGUGUAUAUAUUAAGGGUAAAAGACUGUUUACUACCCUAAUGUUUCGUGGUUUUCAACAUUUAGUACAUCAUGUUUUUUUCGUCUCAGAGUCAUACCUAAAGUGUAAAUUUUGGGACAGUCUCAUACAUCCGUUAGUCAAACUGUUAAGUUUUUCGUUAACUGUGACGUGGCGCACUGAGUGGGCGUCAUCCACGUGUCAUGUUUUUUUUUUUUUUUUUUUUUUUUUUUUUUUUUUCUUCUUCUUCCUUCUUCUUGCUCCGACUGCAACUUUCUGUUUUUUUUUUUUUUUUUUUUUUUUUUCUUUCCUUUUCCUUCUUCCUUCCUUUUUCCUUUUUUUUCUUCCCCUUCUUCCUUCUUCUUCUUCUUCUUUCUUCCUCCGAAUUCUUUUUUUUUUUUUUUUUUUUUUUUCUUCUUCUUUCCUUCUUCCUUCCUUCUUCCUUCUUUCUUCUUCUUCUUCUUCUUCUUCUUCUUCUCCGAAAUCAGAUUCAUUUUUCUUUCUUUCUUCUUCCUUCUUCUUCUCCUUCUUCCUUCUUCUUCCCUUCUUCGUUCUUCUUCUUCUUUUCUUUUGGGGGAAGAUGAAAGUGUUUUUUUUUUUUUUUUGAGGAAGAAGAUGAAGAAGAGAAAGAAGAAAGAAAAAAAAGAAAAAAAAGAAAAAAAAAAAAGGAAAAAAAAAAAAAAAAAAGAAUGAAGGAAGAAAAGAAGAAGAAAAAAAAAAAAAAAAAAAAAAAAAAAAAAAAAAAAAAAAAAAAAACGAAAAAAGUGGAUGACAAAGAAAGAAACGAAGAUGGGUGAGAGCAAAACUAAAAAAAAACAAAAAACCACGGAGGAAGAAAAACAACUGUAAAAAAAUAAAAUUACACUUUUGAUCUCUGAGACGAAAAAAAACUUGAUGUACUAAAUGUUGAAAACAAAACACGAAAAAUUAGGGUAGUGAAAACAAACUCAGUUCUUUUACCCAUAUAUAAUAAAUAAGAAGGCCUUGGAAAGGAUAAAACUGAAAUAUCAAAGAUGGGCCUUGGAAAGGAUAAAACUGAUGACGAACAGUUCCAACCGUUCUAAAAACGGUACACUUGACAUUUGAUUUGUUUUAACAAUAAACAUUUUUCCUUCAGUUUGUCCGUUCUACCUAGAAAAAAGUUUGCAGUUAUCACAACAUGCCAAUAUUCAGUUAAUAUACUUAAUGAGUUUCUAUGAAAAUGUUCUUGAUAUUUUCGUGCCAAAUGGUGAGUGCAUUAUCUAUUUGUUCUAGCCUUGAUUUCUAGUUGCCCUCCAACCAUCAACGUUGCUUUUGCUUAAUUGCCAACCUUUCAUCUCUUAUUGUGCUUUCUUCUCAAUAUUCUCACACCUUCGUAGGACGAGAAGAAAAUUGUAUAUCUCAGUUUUAUAGCUCUAAUAAGAUUUAUAUCUCUCUCGUUACAAAACUUUUACAUUAAGUUUUCCUCCCAUGGUGUAUCAAAUAAUAAUAUUUCAGUAGAGACAUCUAUUACCAUAAAUUUUGUGCAAUUGAAAGCAGCGAGAACAAUACCUAUUAUUUUAUUUUAUUUUAUUUUUUCUCAAAGAAUUUUUUUGGUCAUUUUCCUCUGCAACCCUUGAGUUUCAAUCAACCCACACCCACUUUAUUUAUAAGAGUAAGGAGAACAAAUUUUUAAACCAAAUUUUGUAAAUAAAAUGAUACAUUACCAAUAGAAAAUAAGUACGUUAAUUAAUACUUGAAUAAUUUAGUCUCUCUAGCAUUAUCUUUAAAAUAAUGGCAAACUAAUUCUUUUGUUUUUUUUUUACGAAUGAUAGAAUAAUCUAUAUUAAACUAUUGUUUCGUCUUUUUUUCUUUUCUUUUUGUGAACGAUAAGACAAUAAACAAUUGAGAAAUUUUAUUUGAACUCAUACUUUGUAUCUCAACACUCAACUUACUUUUUAUAUUCACAUUGUAUUUGAUUUAUCUAUCAUUAUUUAUUUACACCCAACAUUAUUUUCGAAAUCGCCCUUACUUAUCAAAACCCAACUCAAUCAAACUUCUUUUUACACCCAACUCAAUCUACUUAAAAAUAAAAAAAAUUAAAACUCUAACCAGUCUAUCAUCUUCAUGGAGCAAAUCCCCUUCUCCCUCUUUAAAAAUCCUUCCAUCUCCCAUGGUUGUCAUUCUGCACCCCCAUCUACUUCUCCGUAGUCACUAUUUGGACCCGAUUUUAUACCAUCGGCCCAAGCGAUCGAGGCUGUUGAGUGAGCAUGGUUCUUAACCGUCAAUUAAGAUAAUUUGAUAUUGUUAAGAGAUAAUAUUAUGGUUUUUAAUCAUAAUAAUUAUCUUUUAAUAAAUUAUCUCAAUUUUCUUGUACAAAAUAAAUGGAAUGCAAAUCAUAACCUCAACGUAGAGGCAAGCAGAACAGUCCGAGUUAAUUUGGAUUUGUUAGCAGUGUACUAUGUGAAAUUAGAGCAGCUUGGCUUGGACUCUUCACGUGGCAUAACAUGGAUCUGCAAGUUUUGGAUAAUGGUGAAUAGAAAACCUAAGUAGGUUAGGUUGUUUGAUGAAUGUUGUCAGACGGAUAGGCUUUUGGAUGGGUGAUGGGUUAGGUUUUUAUUAGCUUUGAAAAGUCAACCAUUUGAAGAUAGGCUUUAAGCCUAUGUCACGGAUCAGUUUGAGUUUCAGUCGGUUUCUUCUUAUUAUCCAGGCCGUGCCAAACAGAAAAUAUGUUCAUAUAAAUACAGAGGUAAUUGCAACGCAUAGAGGACCUCCAACUCAACACACAAACUGCCAUGCGUAAACCCUUGCUCUACGCGAAACCUUUCAAACAUCUUGAGAUUUUUUAUUUUCUUUUUCGCCAACACAUCUUUAGUUUGGAUAAAUAGCACUAUGAAGGCAACCGAUGAAUAUCUUCAGUUUGGAUAAACAACAUUGUUACCGUAGAAUUAGCCGACCACAGAGCACCUUCAGUUUGGAUAAACAGCACUGCGUCAAGGCCGACUGGUUAUCUAUCCAAGUCUCAGUCGAGAAGGAUUUUGGAAUCCUUAUUGGCAGAUGUCAUCUCAUUAGCCUUUUCGGCCAAGUGAUGUGUUACAAGUUAUUACAUUCAGCACAUUGAAAGCCGAAUUUGAUAUUGAACUUUGCAGAACUAGCAGCCUUGUCUUCAGGCUCUAGAACCCGAAGGCUAAGAGUGUUCCUUCCUCGGCCGCAGUCCCGAGAUUCAAAAGUCAGCAGCGCACCCAACGUAACAUCAACAUAUUUUACUCCUCAGCCGAGCUCGGCCGACGAGUUGGCACGCCUCGCACACAACUGAAUGACGUAGUUAGCUUAUUAAUUACUCGGCUUGCGUGCCACAUAGGCUUAGUAGUUUUUAGGGUCAACAUCACCUAAACCUCUUCCUCUUCCUUUUCUUCAUCAUUUGACAUCUCUAAAUUUCUAGAGCACUAAUUAGCUUAAUAAUCAGUAUGAGCUUCUGGUUAGAGUGUUUAAUGAGUUUGAUAUGUUUCAAUUAAAUGACAAUCUUCUAGCCUCUAUAUUCCUAUAUGUGGUAGAAAAAUGGGUACGUCCAUAAUAACUUUUGGUAGAUCAAUGAAUAUUUUAAAACGUGGAUAUUUAUUAGAUACAAAAGUUGCUGACAACAAUUCACAUUACAUUGAACUGUGGCUAAAAAGUAUAUCGUCUUAGCAUGUUUUAUAGGUGAACUCAUAGCUAAACAGUUUUUAUUGUAAAGCAAAACUUUGGGAAUUGAUCUAACAUGGAUGUGUAAUUGAGUUUAUGCAUUUUAACGAUUAAAAUGAUAAAUAUUUCGACUGUAAAUGGAUUUAAUAUCGUAGUAUCUUUUAGCCUCUAUAUGCCACAAAAGUUGUGGACAAAAAUUCACAAUACAUAGAACUGUGGUUAAAAAGUAUACUGCCUUUGCACGUUUAUAGGUGAACUCAUAGGUAAGCAGUUUUAUUGUUGACCAAAACUUCGGGAAUUGAUCUCACUUGAAUGUAUAAUUGAGCUUAUGCAUUUUAAUGAUUAAAUUCAUAAAUAUCUCAACCACAUAUAAAUUUAAUAUCGUAUUGUCCUUUAACCUCUAUAUUGGUAUCUGUGACAAAAAAAUGGGUACCUCCAUGAGAAAAUUUUGUAGAUCGAUUAAUAUUUUCAAUUUGGAUAUUUAUUAGAUACUAGAAAUUAUAAGUCUAUUUGCGAAAGUCUAAGUCAAUGCCACGUACAAUAUUUGUUAAGAUAUAUUUAGGGAACUGUUAUUAGCACUCCAAAAAUCUCAUUCUACACUCCACACAAGUGUAUUUUUCUUUCUAAUUACAAAAAGUUUGGAAUGCCAAAUGAGAUUUUUGGAGUGCUAAUAACAAUUUUCUAUAUUUAUAUACAUUUUAUUUUUUGGUCGACUUCCCUUUUUUUUUCUUUCUUUAUCAAGUUAGGAGUAUCACUGAUUUUGAACUUGUGCAACUAGUUGUUGAUUCGUUUUGAAUAAUCAACAUUAUUUUUGACAAUGUCUUGGGCGUAUGAAUAAUAGAAAGAAAAUGGUCAUGAUACAAGUUGAAUAGUAGUAAUACUAAUUAGUAAACAAUUUGUGCAUGAUGUUUACUUAUAACCAAGUGGCAUGAAGGGACAAAUGUGUAGGUUUCAUGCAUGACUUGAAAUCGUAUUAGUAAAUGCAUGAUGUUUGCUUAUAACCAAGUGGCAUGAAGGGACAAAUGUGUAGGUUUCAUGCAUGACUUGAAAUAAUAUUAGUAAAUGCAUGAUGUUUGCUUAUAACCAAGUGGCAUGAGGGGACAAAUGUGUAUGUUUCAUGCAUGACUUGGAAUAGUAUUAGUCGUCGGGAGAUUUUGCAUCAAUUUGUUUUUGUUUUUUUUAACCAAGUGGCAUGAAAGGACAAAUGUGUAGGUUUCAUGCAUGACUUGGAAUAAUAUUAGUAAAUGCAUGAUGUUUGCUUAUAACCAGGUGGCAUGAGGGGACAAAUGUGUAUGUUUCAUGCAUGACUUGGAAUAGUAUUAGUCGUCGGGAGAUUUUGCAUCAAUUUGUUUUUGUUUUUGUUUUUAAUAUGUAUAUAUUAAUAUCUAUUUUAAUGGGAUUGCUCUCCACCCCUAAGUUGUGAUAAUGCCUUUAUUUAUCGUUAUUAUGUGAGUUUAAUUAAAUUUUGAGAUUGUGUUUAUCCACUACAUACAUUUAGAAUAUUUUUUUUUUAGUCGAGCGACAACAUUAAUAAGUUAGAUGUUAGAUUAGUCACCGAUAGAAUUCGAACUCACGCCAUCAUGUAAGAGCACAACACUUUUUCACCAUUGUGGUAAAUGGCCACUUGCCAACAAGUUGAUUGGCCUGUGUGACUUUACUAAUACUACUCCAAGUCAUGCAUGAAACAUACACAUUUGUCCCUUCAUGCCACUUGGUUAUAAGCAAACAUCAUUCACAAGUUAUUUGCUAAUUAGUACUACUCUUAUUCAGCUUGUAUCAUGACCGUUUUCUUUCUGUUAUCCAUACGUCCAAGACAUUGUAAGAAAUAAUGUUAAUUAUUCAAAACGAAUCAACAACUAGUUGCACAGGGUCACAGUCAGUGAUAUUCCAAACUUGAUAAAGAAAGGAAAAAAAAAGAAGUCGACUUUCAAACUUGAUUAUUCUACAAAUAUUACUAUAUAGAAUUCAAAUAAUUAUACGAUUGCCAUUUUUUUCGACCUGUCAACUGUAUUCCCAACGACGUUACCCGCACAAUCAAUCUCAAUAACCAGGUUUCCACUAACCUCCUUGUACUCCAUUGUGUUCGCAUACAUGAGCCAAGGGAAGAGCAUUACUAUUUGCAUUCUGAUAAAUGACCAUGAUUUUUUUUAUGAAUAUUGCAGACUAGAAUUUCCAAUCAUUCCCAAUGGAGAAUGGUUCAAUCAUGACAUCAUGAGCUAAGAAUACAAUUUUGAGUUUAAAUUUCUCUCCACAUACAUCACGUUAAUUUAGUUUUUUUUCUACUUUCCUAGCAUGUUCUCUUUCGUGCAUUUUAAAUAGUGACUUAAUAGUGAAAAAACAGAUUCAUAUAGAGAUAUAAGUCUAAAAUUACUUGUCACUAAUUCAGUCACCAAGCUUAAGUCGUCUAUCUUUAAUCUUCAAAAUUAACACAAUAAGCUAGUAAUUUCACUUCAUCAAAAUAUUGCUCAAUGUUGUUUGACUUGUUUCCUUUCUUAAACUUUUAGAUGCUCAUUAAUUAUAUACUAAAAAACCUUGCUCUUCAUCUUCAAACGGAUCAUAAUCCAAUAUAGCUCUGUUACUAAAGGCUGGUUUGGUAUUGCUGCGCUUUGAAAAAAAGCUGUUGUGAGAAUAAGUGGCUGUGCUGUGAGAAUAAGCGGCUGUGAAAUAAAUCAGCAGAGUGUUUGGUAAACUUUUUUGUAAAAGUGCUUUUGGAAAAAAAAAACAGUCUGAUAGUGGGUCUUUUCAUUAAAGGAGCACUGUAGCUCUGUGUGCUUUGAAAAAAAGUCAGUUUUCCAAAGCUGCAAAUAGCAGCUUCAGUUUUUUCCUUUGAUUUCAGCUUAUUCUCACAACAGCUUCCAAAAUAAGCCUUUUUUUUUUUUCAGUUUACCAAACACCUAAAAGCCUCAUAACUUUUUUUGAUAGGUGCCUUUUUUUUUAAGCACCUCACUCCCAAACCCAACCUAAGUAGCAUAACUACAAGUCUGCAAGAUGGCAAAAGCAUAAUCCAUUGUAACUUUGGUAGAUCAGGUGUCGGCAGGAUCAUUUUCUUCUAAAUUCAAGUAGCAUAACUACAAGUCUGCAAGAUGGCAAAAGCAUAAUCCAUUGUAACUUUGGUAGAUCAGGUGUCGGCAGGAUCAUUUUCUUCUAAAUUCGGUGACGGAUGGAUCAUUUUCUUCUUGUUUCAAGUGUUGUGUGACUCAGGUUUUUUUAGAGUCUUUUACAGUUUUAAAUUGAUUGUCUCUACAUCAUCUACUAUGGCCUACAAACAAUUGAAACAAUCACCCUCCCAAAAUAAUAUGAUCGGUGUUGCAAGGGAUUGUAGCUUAGUUGUGUACAAGCAGAUGUUUUUUUUAGUAUAUCGAUAUUUUUUAUAUUAAGGAAGAGAAGAAGUUUGGAUGAGCCACACAAUAGAUAGUCUAAUUUGAUAUUAAAUUUUUCAUUCACGAGAUUCGAACAUAAGACCUCUACUUCUAAGUGAAGAGGAAUAUCACUAGAUCGUAGUACUAAGUAGCGCAAUCAGUCAUUUAUUUGUUGAGAAUAAAUCUUAUAUUAAUGAAAUGAGAGACUUUGUAUGUGCUUAUAAUAAGUAGUUGAGGUACUCUUCCUAUAGUCAAUUGUUUUUAUGGUGGAACUUCAAUCUCUUUUUCUUGCUAUCAAAACAAGUUGUCUCAUGUAUGAAGCAUAACGGCCUCACGUGAUCCACAUCUUUCGAAUUGUAUUAUCCACAUGUUAAACUUGAAAUUUGUCAUACGUAAUGGAAUGAAUCUCAUAUUAAAAAAAGAAAAAAAAAAGAGACUUUGAAAUCUCAAUUUUAUUGUAUUUCCAUCCAAAGUUCUAUAUUUUGAUUUCCCAUCUCCAAAAUCGCUCUUAUAAAGAAAAAGAAAAAGUAUAACGAACGUGUAGGACUUUGGAGAUAAGAAAUCAAAUAAAAAGACAACAAUAUGACCCCACGAUAUGACCCCACGAAAAGUACAGAGAGAAACGAGGAGUCCUUUGUGGUCCGAAAGGUUACAAGUCUUUCAACACCUAAUUAUCAAAAGCAAAUUGCAGCGUUCGAGAGUAGUCUGGAUUAGGGCUGGCAUUUUGAACCCGAUUCGUUAAUCCGAUCCGAUCUGAUCCGUUAAAACUAGUAUUUGGGUGAAUGCUUAACGGGUUAGGUUAUUAACGGGUCAACCCGUUAGUCACCCGUUAAGUAACGAGUUAUUUUGAGUCAACCCGCGAAACCCAUUAGCACCCGUUAACACCCGUUAAGAAGGACUUAUGUGUAAUUUCAUAGUUGGAAUAGAAAACCUAGCUCUCUCUGUUCUCUCACAUUCGAACCCGACUGAGUGGCUGCUGUUCUCUGAGAACUUCUCUCCCUCAUCUUCUUCCUCAAAUUUGGCUGCCGUUCACUAAGUUUGUCAUCCUCUCUCUGGUAAGUUCCGAUUCCCUUUCACCUCUUCUUCCAUGGCGAUUACUUUUCGUUUUUGCAAAUUAUAUUUUUUGUCUAAUUCUCAGUUUUCGCUUGAGCUUGGUUUGAGGUGGUAUUCUUCAGAUGAGCUUCAAAUUAAUUUGGAAUUAGUUGAUUUGUGUUUGAUGAUUUCAAUUGCGAUUGUGCUUUUGUUGUGCAAAUGGUGUUUUCUGUGUGUGAUUGUACUUUUGUUCUCUUCCUUCUCAAGUUAGAUAGAGAGAGAUCUUCCCACUUCUCCAUCCCAUCACACACUUGAUUCAUACACACACACAUACAUACGUUAUUCUUCUAUUAUGGGUUUGAUGGUGAUUGAGGAGGAGAAGCAGGCGGCGGCCAAGCCCUUCGACGAAUUGAGUUUUGAUUAGAAUUGGGUUUUGAUUAAAAUAUGUGUUCUUUUGCCUGAAACAGACUCUGGAUCUGUUGAUUUUCAUAAUCCAUGAAAACAAGUCCCUUCAUCUUCAUCUGAAAACUUCUACGUAGUAAGUUCCUCUUGCAACUAUAUAUGCGAAACUCAUUAUUUAUUAAAGUAAACUGUCGAUUUACCCCCUGAACUUUCACCUCACUUUCGAUUCCCUCUUGAACUUUUCAAUUGGAAAAUUAAGGACUCAAACUAAUUUUUUUAGCCAAUUUGCCCCCUACUGUUAGUUUUUCAUAUAUUCUAUCUAUAUUUCUGUUAAGUGAGACCAUAUGCACAACAUGUGAGGGUAGUUAAGUCAUUUCACUCUUAAAAAUGAUUAAAAAUUUGAAAAUAAAAAAAAAACAAAAUUUUCCCUCUAUUUUUUUCCGCUAAUUCCUAUCAUCGAUUUUAUUUUUCCCUCUCAUUCUUAUGCAUGAGAAAUGACAUAUGGUGUUAUUGUCUACCAUUUUUAUUUUCUCUAACAAAUUAAUAAUUUGACAAAUGCUAAUGGUGCUAUUGUCUCCAAAGCAGUUCAUUAAUAUAAGAAACUCUAGUCUUUUUUAUGGACAUGUUUCUUAUAUUAAUGUACUGCUUUGGAGACAAUAACACUAUGAGCAUUUGUCAAAUUAUUAAUUUGUUAGAGAAAAUAAAAAUGGUAGUACAUGCUUCAAGAAAAAGAUUAACUUAGCUACUUAUGAAGACAAUAACACUAUAUGUCAUUUCUCAUGCAUAGAAAUGAGAGGGAAAAAUAAAAUUGAGGUUAGGAAUUAGCGGGAAAAAAUAGAGGGAAAUUUUUUAUUAUUAUUUAUUUUCAGUUUUUAAUCAUUUUUAAGAGUGAAAUGACUUAACUAUCCUCACAUGUUGUGCAUAUGGUCUCACUUAACAGAAAUAUGGAUUGAAUAUAUGAAAAACUAACGGUAGGGGGCAAAUUGGCUAAAAAAAUUAGUUUGAGUCCUUAAUUUUCCAAUAGAAAAGUUCAGGGGAAAAUCGAAAGUGAGGUGAAAGUUCAGGGGUAAACCGACAGUUUAUCCUUAUUUAUUAAUUAAUUAUUUCAUUUUUCUUGAAGUUUGUAUAUUUAAUUAGAGAUUUCAUCAAUAACCAGCUAUAUAAUUUGUGCGGUUUUCAGCCUUGAUUAUUCCGUCAUUCGGUCUGGAUUUGUUGACUAUAAGUGCAAACAAGUGCCCUCAUGACCUGACAGACUUCCACCGCGUAACUGCUGCUUGCUUCAGAUCAUGUCCAAUAUUCGUGCAACGGUGCAAGUUUCGAGUCUUGAAGCGUAGGAUUGCAAGAAUCCCCCUGCAGUUACGGGUAAUCCCAAAACUGCCCCAUUUUUUGUCCAACAGGUUCAAAUUUAAGAAAAAUAAUGUUUACUGGUAUAUGAUUUUUGCAAGCUUCUGUUUUUCUUUUUGCUCGUCUUUUAAAUUGAUAUGGUGUGUUUCAUUAAUUAUUGUGUUUUAUGUCAUCUUAAAUGGCAAGUGAAUCAAGUGAUGUACACAAUUAUUCAAUGAGAUAAAUUUAUUAAUUGAUGUGACAUAUCACAUCAAAUUGUACGUAAAUAUGGUAUAAACAUAUGUGAUUUCCUAACAUUUUCGGAUUUUCCUAGUAAUAUUAUAUGGCGUGUUAUUGUGCUUUAUACAUACAAUAUCAAGUUUUUCUUUUUCUUUUUUAUUGGAACAUACAAUAUCAAGUUAUUAGAUUAUUUUAUGGUACUAUAUUAGGGACUGUAUACCUGGCGGUGGGACGGUUAUGAUGUAGGCAACCUUGAUCUGAAUCCGGCCCGUUGCCAUCCCUUGCUAUUCCCAAAUUGUUAUCUCUAGAUAUGCUUACUAGGAGUCCAUUAAUUGAAUAUUAUUUCAAUUUUACUAUAAAUUUGUAUAGGUAAAUGCUAGGGACAUUAAAUUAUUACUUUAAUCUAAAGUACGGUUUGAAAUUGGCACUAUUCAAAUGAACAGUGUUUCAAUUCGAAUUUCAGAUUAAUUACCACCAUGCCAUUGGUUUUUGUGUUGGUUUUGGGUCAGCAGCCCGUCCCUCAGCCAGGCCCAAAUGUGUUGGCUUUAGCAGGGAAGACCGGCCCUCAGUGAGGCCCAAAUUAUUUAAUUACAUUUUUGCCCAUCAAAGAUUACAAUCCGACGGUGGGGAUGGUGUAUUACGAAGGGCAAUUUUGUCCUCUCCGUUUUGGGCGAGUAGGGGGUCACCGGUUGGUAUCAUUUGAUGUCGUUCAAUUAGGGUUUCGGGGAGGUCUGUGAGAGAGAGAGAGAGAGAGAGAGAGACAGAGACAGAGACAGACAGAGACAGACAGAGAGAGAUGGCGAUGGAAGGAGAGCGAGGGGGAGGGGUAGGGGUCUCGGCACUGUUGUUGCAGAUGGGAGGGUCGGUAUGGUCAGAGAAGACCAUAUGGGUCGUCGGGAUUUUGGGGAGACGGGGUAGGGGUCAUCUGCAAACCCUACUGAGAGUGGGGUGUGCCGGAUCUUGUGCUGCAUGCCUCGAAUCCAAAGAUAUGUUUUGGGGGAUUUGUGAUCUUACAGAGAGAGAUGGAUAGGGAGAUAGAGAUAGACAGAGAGAGGAGAAAGCAUGGCUGUGUGCAUUUUUUGGGGUUAAUUAAUGGGUUAAUGCGCAGGGUCAGUGAGGAGAGAGUGACAGAGGGGUGUAUGGCAGGGUAUGGGUUUUCAGUUUUUCCCUCUGAUUCAAUAAGUUAUGCACUGUUUGAAAAUAAUUGUUUAUUGUUUUGUUUUCCGUUGGCUUUGUUAAAACCAUCAUUUGAAUUGUUUGGUUUCACUGUGCUCAUUUCUGGGCUUCUUCAAAAUUUUCUGGUGUUUGCUUCUCAUUCCCCUGUUGGUUGAUUUUUUUUUUCCCAUUUCUUGGUUCUUUAUGUAUUCCUUGGUUCUGUCUAAAUUUUUGCUGUGGGAUGAUGCUUGCAGGUGAACUAUAUGCACGGUUUUUUGAGACGAGUUAAGAAGAUCCACCUGAAAACAACAUACAAGAUAGAGAACUAGUAUGCUGCUUUGUCUUUCUGUUGGAUUUUGAUGUUUAUGUUCUGCUACUAAGAGGAUUUUAUAGUGUUCUAAAUCUGUUUUGUAAAUGUGCUUAAAUAUUGGACAUGUUCUUGAAUAUUAGCCAUGUUGUUUGAAUUGGAUAUGUGAUUGAAUAUUAGGUAUUUAUUUUGAAUUGAUUUGGAUAUGUGGUUUAUUGAAUUAGAAUUUGGAUAUGUGCUGAUUUGAAUUGGAUAUGUUGAAUUAGAGAUGUGCUACUUUGAAUUGGAUAGGUUGAAAAAUGACAAGCGAUGGUAAAAUAUGUUUGGAAUACACUAGAAAAAUUAGAUAGAGGCUUGAAAGGACUAGAUCGAGUACAUUUGAAAGAACUAUCAGUACAAGACAACUUUGUUUAGUGUUUUUGUAGUGGUGUUCUAAUUGCAGCUUCAUAGUUUUAGUCUAAUGUUUUUGUUGUACAGUUUUUAACAACCGAAUCUAAAAUCCCUCUGUACUUUAAAGUCUCUCCUCCAGACAUCACAUUAGAGAAUUAUAACUAUUCAACAUUCUUGGUGCAUCGGCAUAUUAAUGAUUGUAUCACAGAAUUUUGGCAAAGUUCCUUGAAUUAUUGAACAGUUAAUGCUUUCCAAAUGUUUUACUUUGAUUCAUUGUCUCACAUUUUCCAUGGUACAAGUUUACAUGAUUGCAAGCCGAUAGAAAGAGAUAUAUGUAGGGAGAAGCGGGAAUUGGGGAGAGAGAGAGAGUGAGCGAGGGGUGCGGUUGCUUUUUAAAGAUAUCUUUGAAAUUGUUUCUGCAGUUUUUUUUUUUUCUUUUGGGUGAAUUUUCUUGAGUUCUUUCUGUUUGUUUGGAAUUAUUCCAUUUUUACUGAGAUUCUUUUGGUCCCUGCCACUAAACUCUGAUUUCUGCUAUUAAUUGCUGUUGACAUGUGACUUUUGCUAUUAAUUUUGUAAAUUAAUUUAAUUAAGAUGCUCAAUGUUCCCUUAAUUGUGAUUAAGAUGGUCACAAUCCUACCAUCCUCUGUAUGCUCUGCCAUGUCCGCCGCCAAUGUUUUAUUUUUACUUUUUAACCCUUUCGUACAACAUUUAAAUAAUCAGGUGGAAAUAGUAAUUCUAUUUUUCGACAAACGAUAGUGUUAGUAGGUUAAAUUGUUAGUUGUUAUGAGAGAAGGAGAUCGUUCUAGAGAUCAAACUCUCAUAAAAAUAUAUGAUGAUUUCUGCAAAUGCGAUCAGCAGUUGCAUAUUACAAUAUACAGCUUCAGUUGGCAUCAGUUUCUUAAUGAGUGGCAUGUGAAUUCUUAAUUUAAUUUCGGAAAGAAAUGCGUUUAAAUUUGGUGGUAUGUGAUGAAGUUAGCAUUCUGUUUUUUAUUAUAUACUGGUGAUGGACAUUUUUAGCAUAUUGGAUUUAUCAUUUUCUAUAAAAUGAAGCUUCAUUCUCACUAUGUUGUUGAUGUUUUUUGUGAUUUCAGUUUAUAGUGCUUCUAAAUGCUGUUUUAAUUUAGGAAUUUGAAUAAUUGUUUAAAUGGGAUUGGAGGGUGAUAAAUAUUUCUAGCUAGGGAAAGGUCACAUCCAUGUGUUGGUCGAAUUGAUGGAUGUAAAAAAUGAAUAUGGAUGAACGUCUAGCUACUGCAUGUAGAUUCAGCUUUCCUUUGCAUUUGAGUGAGUUGGAAACCGAGUGGAACAGUUUGAGAGAGAGAGGGAGGGAGGGAGGGAGAGAGAGAGAGAGGACGAUGUUGGGAUUUUGGUAAAGAUUUGAGCUUUAGUUGUAAGCAUGCUGAUAUGAGCUCACAGUAAAACCCAACAGUAUGUAGAUUGAAUUGAGUUGGGAACUGAGUGGAAAAAUAUUAGAGAGGAUUGUGUUUUCUGAUGCGUCUUUGAGCCACUGACCAUAGGUGGAGUCUUAUACUGCAAUAUUAUGUGCUAAUCUAAUAAACCCUGCAACUUAUUCAUCUUUGUCAUGAGUAAUUUUUGGUUUUUUUCAUUGGAAUAGGGAUUUAGUGGAUGGUUGUUUUUAACGCAUAUUAGUUAAAAUGAGUUGAGUAUUGGGUGCUAAUCCCAUGUCUGCAAAUCACAGUACCCUAAGGAAGAAACACUGUCUGCACGAUCUAUAAUACCUGUUCAAGCAAGAAUCUUUUCCCAAACUAAAAAGCUUACAUAUCAAAACGUGUAAAGGAUGUGCCACUAUCAUCUUACUUUUUCAAUACCUAAACCAUGCAGUGAUGCAUGGGCUGGAUAUUGCUCCUUUCAAGUUUCAAAUCAUCAAAUGCUAAAGGUUUCUAGAUAAAUCAUCAUAGAAGUCGAUUCUGCAGAUUCCUUCUUAGUUACACUCAGAUGAUAAUGUAUUUAUAGUCCUUGACAUGUUUUUAAAGUUUGCAUUUUCAAUGUAUAUAUCAUUAACUAAGCUUUAUCAGCAGAAUAUCAUCGCAAAUUUGUUACGGAAAAUGCUAUUGCUAGAUUCUGAUUUAUCUACUUUAGUUUUAAGGAUUACACAUUGUUUUACGAUAUAAAAUAGAUGUUCUGCCUUGAUUUGAUGCGGGGGUAUGCAUUAGCUAACAUUAAUUCUGUUUAGUAUUUCUCAAAUUCAUUUUGGGUUAAAAAGUUGGAGCUUUGGAUUGGGUUUUUUCUUUAUUCAGCUAUCAUUUUCUGCUUAGGAGACUCUCUUAAACUGUCUGAAACUGUGCUCAUUAGGCUGGGCAGAGCACUGACAAGCUAAAAACAAAACAAAAACAAGCAGAAUUAUCACAUGUAGUGCAGGAUGUUGAAUGUCUUUUCCUCAUUGCAAAUCCUAAACGACCCAAAUCUGGAUGGUAAAAUACUUCGAGUUGGAAUUAAUAGGAUCGAUUGAAACAUGGAUUUUUUUUAUUAGAUUGGUAUAUCUGACUUAAUUAAGAAGUAGUUUAAGACAGUCAUUAGGGAAUUUCUGUAAUUGAACGUAGUUGUUUUCAUGAGGUUGAUAAAUACAAUAAGGUGCUUCUAUACCAAUAAGUGAUUUUAUACGGACACAUUGUAUGAUGUAAAAUGGUAAAAGGAGUACCCAUUCCUGUCCAGUCUUAUGUUUUCCGAGUCUUGCUUAUUUUUCAUUAGUCAUAUGAAAGAUGCUGCAAUACCGUGGGAUCAUAAUAGCUAAGAAACUGGACUUGGACAUCUUUAUUCUAUAGAGCGUUUGUAAAAGUAAUUUAGACUUUAUUAAGUUUAUAUUAAUCCUUCACUUCUGUUCAUUCAUUGUAAUUUCUAUUUGGUUUGUCUGCAUUUGUCUUAGGAGACUCUGUGGGGCUGCUUAAAUUUUAUAUAUUCAAUUGCAUAGAGUCGGCAUGACAUGCACAGAGAUUGUCAGAUUGCCACCCUUAGUUGGUGAUAUUAUCUUUACAACACAUUCAAAUUGAGGAUUUAGAAAAUCUAAUAAUAAAAUUGAAAUAUAUGUUCGAUGCUUUUUGUUUUCAUUUUCGGUUAAAAGGUUUCAGCUUUGGAUUGGUAUUUACCUUUAUUAAUCUAUAAUUUUGUGCUCAGGACACCAUCUUGGGGGUCUUAAUAUGAUUGUUCUUCUAUUUCAUAGACUCAAAACGUGUUUAGUGUCUCAUUUAAUUGGUGUACCUUUGCUCAUUUAACUCAAAUUUAAUACGAUUUGGUCCUCCAAUUUCUCUAAAUUGCUAACGGAUUUAUUUUCUUUGGAAAUUUCAGGAACUCUGGUUGUGGUAGGAACAAGCCGGCUCCUUGCUAUUUUUAGGUAUAUGAUUAUGUGCCUUGAUUGCAUGUUCAAAGUCUAAUUAGUUAUAUAAACUUUUAAUUUAUCUUUGCAAAGCUUUUGUACUUGGAUUUUAGAUAUGUGAUUGGUUUUUGAAAAAUUAAUGAGAAGGCUAAUCAUGGGGACAUUCUUAUUUCUGAAAUUUUCUCUUCAGCAUUGUUUCUUGAAUAAAUUUGGAUUGGUAGAUGUAGGGGUAGAGCAACACCCGUGGUGUAAAUAAAAGGUAUAGGCGUAAUGAUUUCUAGGUUUAGAAUUCAUUCAAAAAUAUGAUAUAAUGCUGCGUUCUCUAAUUUUUUUUUUUUGCUGUUUGCUGUUCUAAACUUUUGAACUCCUUUUUGGAUUGAUCUUUGUUAUUUUGUUUUUGGGGGUAUCUGAUAGGUCAAGGUUGCCUAAUCUUGGUUGUACUUUUUCCCAAGACAUGGCACAUUUGAAACUUUGAAUUCUUGAGUUUAUAUUUUAAUUCUCAUUAGUUAAUGCGUAAUAUUUGGCCUUUUAUUUUGAGAUUAGAAUGAAUACGUUUGGCCUGAAAGACAGUAAACUGAAUUAAAAGCUGGCUUAUUUUCCAUUGGCCAUCAAUUAGGGUGAGAAAACAUUGAAUUGAGAUCCUUAAACAGCGCUCAUAUAGGGUACUAUACCAAAUGAGCUCGAAGAGGACUCAGCAAUUGAAGAACAAUUGAUGGGCAUACACCUUGGACAUGAUUAAGUUAGUUGAACAUUAUACUAUAACAAGUACAUAUUUCUGCUAAAGGACCAUACCAAAUAAGGAGUCAGGUUCACACACAGACACGCACACACACAUCUGAUGUAAAGUUAUUCUAUUAGAUGGUUUCCAGAUUGACCCCCCCUUGCUAAAUCUAUUUCAAGGCUGGAAGGAGAGUUAAAACAUAUGUUAUUGUCUUAUAUGUUUGUAUUUGAAUGGUAACGAUGUUGUUCUUCUGGUGGAAAAAUUUUCCUUUGAAUCCAUUUCAGCUUAGGCUCUACUUUUUUAUUUCAUUUCAACGUCAUUUUCAUGUUCAUCAUGCCCUGUUGGUAUGUGUUUUGUGUUGGCAUUGGAGGGUGGUGGGUUGUCGUUUUGUUUUUCUUUUCUUUGAUUGUAAGACCUUCUAACGAUUGAAUUUAUUUUAUGCGACUCAUUUUGAUCCCCUAGUUUGAGUUUUUCAGUUACGUAUCAAUACUUAACUGCUGGAUUUUUCUUAAGGAAAUUGGAUAUAGGCUAUAUACUAUGUGCAAAAUUCAUGGAGAUCAAGUUUUUGUUGGGUUUUUGACUCAAAAUUAGGAUGAUGCAAUAAAUUAGGUUUGUGUUACCUAUUUGGUUUUGGUGUCCUAUUUGGGUUUGGUUUUGACUUCUUAGUUAGUUUCCUUGGUGGAGAGAUUUUGUUAAUUACCUAUUUGAUUAGGAUUUGGAUUUAUUUCCUAUUAGGAUUCAUAUUGUAACCUAAGUCCUAUGCACUAUAAAUAGGACCUUAGGGUUAGUGUAUUUAGUGUGGCUCAUUCGUGUGGCAAUUUGGUGAGAGUCAAGUUUCAGGCCCUAGGAAGUGGGAGGAAAGCUAAAGCUUUGUGGGGUUGUCUGGUCUCGGCAGUUUUUUGGAACAUUUGGCUGGAGCGUAACAAAAGAAUUUUUGAGGAUUAUACAGGUGUGGGGGUAGAAGUACUUUGGGGAAGAGUAAAAUAUUGGGCAGCCCUUUGGGCUUCAGUCUCAAAUGUUUUUAAUAAUUACUCUAUUUCUCAAUUACUGUGGGAUUUGUUAGCAGCAGUAAAGUGAGUUAGGUCUAGCUAAUGUUGCUGUAGCCAAAUCCUAGUGAGAGUUUUUUCUUGUUUCUUGUUAAUGGUGGAUUUCUUAUCCACUCCAGUGUAUUUCUCUUUUCUUCUAUAAAAUGUUUUGUUUCUUCUCAAAAAAAAAAUUUGUGAGUUUGUGAGUUAGAGAGCAAUUUGGGAGAAUCUUCUCCGUUAGUUUUGGGUUCUCUACUCGUUUGGUUUAGGGUUUGUAAUUUGUGGGAUUUGGGUUGUGAGAGUUUAAACACUCUUUUGUAAGCUCCAUUUGUUUAGUGAAAUUCCUCGCCGUGCUUUGCUCGUGGACGUAGACUUUACACCGAACCACGUAAAUCUCUUGUGUUAGUUUGAGAUUGUUUGUUUUAGCUUUCACCUACGACGUUGAUAUUGGUACUUUGUUAGAAUUCGCUUCCGUUUGUGCAUAAAAGUACAACAGUUUUGUGCUUUCAUUUGUCACAACGCAGUUUUUUGUUUUCAUAAAUGAAGUUUUGUGCUUUCAUUUUAUUUAUUUUAUUUUGUCUUUCAGUCAGUUUUUCGUUUGAAAGAACUCUUAAUUUUCAUGGAAAUAUAGUUAUUUGUGAAUAUGGAAACUUGAUACUGUGUAGACAUCAGAGUUCGUAUGUUUGUGAUAUGAAAUUUAAAUACAAGCUUCCCAAUUUGUUUUUGGAAUUUUAACUAAACUCGCGUUAUAGGUAGAUCAUGUAUUAAGAUAACAAAAAAGAUAGGUAGAUUUGUGUAUGCGAUGAGUUGUAGUGAACAUUUGGCAGUAAUAGAAAUGGUUUAGGUGUGCUCAGUUUUGGCCUAAAUGGUUAUCACACGAGCGUAAAUGUUUGUUUCAUUUGUGAUUGAACUUGAAUUCGUUGGAAAGCUUUUCAAUUUAUGAAUAUGGAAAGCUUUUCGUCUUUACUUUUAAACUUAUUUUCUGUUUGGUUGUUGAGAAGGUGAUGGAAAUAUAGUUAUCUGUUAAUAUGGAAACUUGAAUCUGUGUAGACUCCUUGGGUUGUCUGUUGGGUUCAGUGGAGGUUUAGUGUUUUAAUUUUGAAUGAUUUGUUUUUCGUUUCAUGGAAAUGACCUAUUAUUUGAUAUUAUUUGAUUUAACUGAGUAAUUUAAUGGAAGUAUAUUCUCUUUUUUUCUUUUCCAUAUUUCAUUUUGUCAGCAACCAAACGAGUUAAGGAACUGUAAUCUUUUUAAUUACUCUGCUAUCUCCGUGAGUUAUGAAUAUCAGACUUUUUGUUUUAUUUCUAUAUAUGUAGUUCCGAAGGAAUCAAGUGCCAAAAUUAGAAUAAAUAUCCUUUAGUCACGUUACACACUUUUCCAUAGAAUGUUUGGUUCAGGGAUCCCUUAUACAAGCACAAUAUUCUUAUGUAUUUAAAUCAUAGUUGACUGUCAUGGUUUAAUAAGUGUGAAAACUGUCUUAACUAUACCAUUGGAGCGUUACAGUUUUAGUUAUUUUAUUGGAUCCGUUUGUUAGCACUUUGAAUUCUUUUGAUUUCUUACUCUGAAUCUCACUCAUUUUUUGCAGUUUAGAUUGGACUCUCAUCAUAGCAUUGUAAUAUGAUCUUGCUGCUGCGAUUAAUCUGACAGUUCUGAGGCGUUGCAUUUGAAUCAAGACUUUGGUAUGUUAGCUGAACUUCAAUGCAUUCUUUUCCCAUUCUUUCUGUUUGAGGCAGCGCAACUUUAUGAUUUUUUUAUUGAUUGUUUGGGUUGAUCGUCUUAUGUUAUCCAUUUGCUUUGUGCUUUGUUUUUCAUUCUUGGUUGUCUCUGUGAUCGUCUCAUUGUCCAGAUGUUGGAUGGUUUUUUAUUUUAUUUUUUUAUUCUAAUUUUGUUUGAAGGUCCGUGCUAUCUCUGUGAUUCUGGUUUAACCCAGUGCUCUUAAUUCUUUAUCGGAUGUUGUUGGCCAUUUUAUCUCUUUUAUUAGUGGGAAAAGGCUUUGUUGUUGUUGUAUUCUGUUAUUGGUUGGUUGGUGUUUUCGUUUGGUUUUCUGAUAGUGAACUAUCUCAUCCUCCCCAAAGUGUUUUAACAUGUUUUGUUGAUAACUGCGCUCUCUAAACGACCUAGAUAUUUUUUUAGAAAAAUCACGACUUCCAUAUUUAAGAAAAUGAGUGGCUUUUUAGCAAAUGCAUGAAUGCAGCUAGAUGUUCAGAAAAAUUCACGGAUAUUUACAUUCAAACCACAAGUAUCAUUAACUUAUAAAUAAUUAAGUUAUGUAUUUUCUUUAUCGGCCAUCACUUCAAAAUUUGAAUUAAAACACUGUCAAAAUGCUUUUUGAUUGUGUUUUCUUUAUUCAUUAUGUAAGUUUGGCAAAUCUUCUACAUGCUGCAUAUUUUUUUGUUUGAACAUCUAUGGUUGACGAGUUACCUGCUCAAACACCACUUUUUCUGUGUUUUGCUAACUGCUAAGUGAGGCAUGUAGGUUGCAGAGCAUAUAUUUGGCCGUCUUAACUAUGUGUAAACUGCAGCUUCCUUCUGUUUCUUCAGUUUCAUAUGGAAACAGGCCUUCUGUUUUUUUGGCCUUUGAACAAUUGUGGUUCCAAAAUUAGCUACUUGAACAAGUCCUCAACACUUUCUGUUUUACAUUACCUGUUGAACUAGCUGCCUACACUGCAGGACACAUGUUAUUUGUGAACUAAAUGUUUCUUCUGUUUCUUAAGUAAACAGAAAUUUUUUGGAAACCAUCUCUUUCUAAUCAAACACGUACAAUUUCUUCCCACUCAUUGUGCAUUGUGUUUAUAUGCCAACUCACUUAAAUAUGUAUAAAAGCAAAAUUGCUUAUCUUACCGGCCUCAUUCACUCAUGUAUCCCUCUGUUUGUUUGUAAUUGUGUUGAAUUUAUUCAACUUAAAUGUGUUUUAUCCAUCUGAUUAUGUCUGAAACAGUGGUUCCCGCAGCAACGCGCGGGCGUAUUUUCUAGUUUUUAACUAAAUUUUGCAAACUAAAUGACAUGAUUGUUGAUGAGUGGAUUAUUAUUUUAGUGUUGAUAAACAUGCUUAUUUUCUAAGGAAAACUAAUGAAAAGGGCUUGAAAACUUUGCGUUUUAACAAUAAGGACAAAAUAAAGGGUAAAGUGAAUAGUAUCAUGAUUGACUUUUUAGUGUAAAAAUAUGGUUUUUCGUUAAAGUGAACAGUACCAGGAGCUUUUCAUUAACGUUCCCUAUUAUCUAGUGGUGACACAUCAUUUAGUUUAAAAUUUUAUUCUCCUUGGCAUUACCCAUUUGUAUAUGAUUGCGGAAUCAAUAAUUAGUUCUCACCAUUUGAAUUUGUGCAGUUGUGACAACAGAUCAAGCUUCCAAAUUUCCAAGGAACUAGUCUUUGACUGUUGAUCUUCCCUUCAUUGAGUCUGUAUUUGUUGAUCACAAGCGGAGUCAGAUUUGAACUUCCAUGUAAGUUCUUAUUAUUCAACUGAAUAAUACAUUAGUUGUUUCUCAUUUUAUUUGAACUACUUUUUAUUCAUUUGUUUCUUCACUUAAUUUGUGCAGCUCUGCACCUCAAUAUUGCUCAAGAGCGGUUCAGUCUUUCUUUGAUUGCUUGGAGUAAUCCUCGCUCUUAAUAUGGUACUGGGAGAGGUUUUUCUUGGGGCGUUUCUACAGGUGCUGCUAGACAGGUUGACCCCUCGCGAGGUUCUCAACUACUUUGGAAACUUCCGGGGCCUUAGAAAGAAGCUGGAGAAGUGGAGGGCCACGUUAUCUACAAUCGCAGCGGUGUUGAGCGACGCUGAGGAAAGACAAGUGACUGACCAUCCUGUAAAACUGUUGCUUGAUGAUCUCAGAGACCUCGCUUAUGAUGUCGAAGACAUGUUGGACGAAUUUUCCACUCAAAUGUUGAAGCGCACAAUAGAGGGACGUGAUCAAGCUAGCACGAGCAACAAGGUGCGGAACUCAUUUUUCAAAAUUAAAUUCAAUUGGGAUAUGAGCUCCGAAAUGAAGAAGAUUACGGAGCGGUUGCAAGACAUAUCUGAACGGAAAGAUAAGUUUGGCUUGAAAGAUACUGGGACGUCUGCUAAGGAAUCGCGACGUCUACCUAGUUCAGACGUGUUAGAUGAAAAGCUUGUUGUUGGAAGAGAUGGUGACAAAGGGAAGAUUAUUGAAUUGUUGUCAAGAAAAUACGAGCAUGCAGGUGCUGUCAAUUUUGAUGUAGUUGCUAUAGUUGGCAUGGCCGGAGUUGGGAAGACGACACUUGCUCAACUUGUAUUCAACAACAAAGAUGAUGCCAUGAAGGAGUUUGAGCUCAAGGUCUGGGUAUCUGUGUCCGAUGACUUCGAUGUGGUGCGAGUGACAAAGGCAAUUCUUGAAUCAAUCACAUCCCGACCCGUUAAAGUGCAGGAGUUUAGUAAAAUGCAGCAUAAUUUGAGUGAGCAAUUAAGAGGAAAAAAGUUUUUAAUCGUUUUAGAUGAUAUUUGGAACAAAGGCGACUAUGAUCUAUACGAUCUCUGGACAAGACUUCAAUCCCCUUUUGGCGUCGGAGCAGGAGGAAGUAAGAUAAUUGUGACAACCCGUGACAGGAAUGUUGCAAAGACUACGGGAGCCGCUGGAGUUCAUAAUUUGGAGUGUAUGGCAGAUGGUGAUUGUUUGGAAAUAUUUGAGCGACAUGCGUUCGGGGAAAUUAAUAAUGGAAAGCCGGUAAAUUAUGAUUUAAUUGGGACAAAAAUUGUUGAAACAUGUCAUGGAUUACCAUUAGCUGCGAGGACUCUCGGUGGUCUUCUACGUUGCAAAGAAAAAGAUGAGUGGGGAGAAAUAUUGAACAACAAGUUAUGGAAUCCAGCAGAUAAGAGUGGCAUUCUCCCCGUACUAAAGUUGAGCUAUCACUAUCUUCCAUCACAUUUGAAGAGGUGUUUUGCCUAUUGCUCCAUUCUUCCAAAUGACUAUGAAUUUGGGGAGAAACAGCUCGUCCUUUUGUGGAUGGCAGAGGGUUUGAUUCAACAAAAACCUGACGACAAUAAACAAAUGGAGGAUUUGGGCCGCGACUACUUUCGAGAGCUAUUAGCAAGGUCGCUGCUUCAAGGAUCAAGCAAAAACAAUUCACGAUAUGUAAUGCAUGACCUCGUUAAUGAUUUAGCACAAUGGGCAGCAGGAGAAAUAUGUUUUAGGUUGGAAGAUAAGCAAGGUGAUAACUUGCAAAGCACUUGCUUUCAAAGGGCUCGCUAUUCGUCUUUCAUUGCUGGUGAUUUUGAUGGAGUUAUGAGAUUUGAGGCCUUUCCAAAACUUGAACGCUUGCGAACAUUCCUGCCACUUUCGCUUUCAGAUUCCAGGUGGUGGUGGAAAUAUUUGUCUCGUAAGGUUAUUUUCGAGUUAUUACCACAGAUGAAAUACUUACGAGUGCUCUCUUUCAAUGGCUAUAAAAUAACUGAGCUGCCAAAGUCAAUCGGUGAUCUGAGGUUGUUACAGUAUCUUGACCUUUCCUACACAGAUAUAACCUGUUUGCCUAAAUCAACAAGCACUCUUUACAACUUGCAAACAUUGAUAUUGGAGGGUUGUUCUAAAUUGAAGUCAUUGCCCACAAACAUGAGUAAUCUAAUUAAUUUGCGCCAUCUCAACAACUCAGGUGCAUCUUCAUUGGUAGGAAUGCCUUCACAACUAGGUCGAUUGACGAAUCUACAAUCAUUGCCUCUUUUUGUGGUGAGCAAAGGUAGUGAUCAACCAGGGGUAAGAGAGAUAGGGCCCCUAUUGCAUCUCCGAGGGACACUGUGCCUCUCAAGAUUGGAGAAUGUGACUGAUGUCGAGGAUGCCAGGAGGGCCAACUUGAUAUGCAAGGAGAGGCUUGAUUCGUUGGUCCUAAAAUGGUCUCAUUCAAGCGACACGAGAAAAACAGAAACCGUUGUGCUUGACAUGUUACAGCCUCAUACAAAGCUCAAGGAGUUCACUCUCAAGAGUUAUGCCGGAAAGGAAUUUUCAUCAUGGGUUGGAGGUUCUUUCUUCUCUAAUAUGGUGCUUGUGCGCUUAGAGGAAUGUAACAAUUGUUUAUCGUUGCCACCUCUCGGACAAUUGCCUCGUCUCAAAGAGCUUUAUAUUAGAGAAAUGAAUGCAGUCGAAAGUGUUGGUGCUGAGUUUUAUGGUGAGUGUGUCUUGCCCUUUCCGCUGUUAGAGAUUCUGGAGUUUGUGGAUAUGCGGCAUUGGAAGGUGUGGCUUCCUUUCCAACUGGAUCAAGGAAGUAGUGUUUUCCCUUGCCUGAAAAGGCUUUCAAUCAAAGGAUGUUCUAAGUUGGAAGGCAAGCUGCCAGAGAAGCUCGAUUUGUUAGCCGAACUUGAAAUUGUUAAAUGUGAGGAAUUGGUGGUUUCGAUUGCCAAUUGCAAACAACUUCGUCAAAUAAACAUUGACAGUUGUAAAGUGUUGGUACAUACAGAUGCUAAGGUUGAGUUUGAGUUGUUAGAGUCCUUGUGCCUUUCAAACAUUUCGGAGGUGAUGUCUCUGCAAACAGGGGAAUUGUUCAGGAAGGGAUUAAGCAAGGCUAGAGAUUUGAAGAUUAAUGGAUGUGAGAAGCUGACGUCGUCAUUGAAGAAUGAGGGUAGAUUAUUGCAGCAGUUGACUUGUCUUGGCCGUUUGGAAAUUGAAGACAACUCUCCUCUAGUUGAAGAAUUGGGAGAAGAAGCAGAGGAGUUGCUGCAAUUGCAAAUAUUGGAGUUAAAAAAGUGCGAAAAUCUUUUGAAGCUACCAAAAGGAUUAAAUGAGCUGUCGUCUCUUCAAGAGCUUCGCAUACACAAAUGUUCACGUCUAGUUUCUUUUCCAGAAGUUGGUCUGCCACCGUCUCUUAAAAACAUCGAGAUUAGAGAGUGCCAUUCGUUGAUAUAUUUUGCAAAAUUCCAGAUUCCCCAAUUUCUCAGAAGAAUAGAGAUAAGUAAUUGCAGAAGUUUGAAAUCACUAGUAGAACCGAACGGGUUAUUCAGCGACAACACCAAUCACUGCCUUGAAUAUAUUAGGAUCUGGAAUUGCCAAAAUCUGGAAUCCUUACCGGAUGGCUUAUGCCACCUUAGCAAUCUUCAAACUCUAAUUAUUGGGAACUGUGGAAGUCUUGUUUCCAUCCCGAGACUGAGUGCGGAGAGAAGACCCUCCAACCUGAGAGAUAUCAUGAUCAACGAAUGCGAGAAAUUGGAGGCGUUUCCCGAAGACAUGCACAAUCUCAACUCUCUUGAGGGAUUGAAGAUCGACUACCGUAAAGGUUUGACUUUUCCUCCCAACCUAACAUCACUUGAAAUUUGGAAGGUCAAGAGCUGUAAGUCAUUGUGGGAGUUGGAGUGGGGGUUGCACAGACUCACCUCUCUUAGAAAGUUGGGGAUCAGUGGAAAAAACACACGUACGGUGUCGUUUCCACCUGACAUAGUCCGGAUGGAGCCGCUCCUCCCCAAAUCUCUCACUGAACUCAGAAUAGAAGGCUUCCCGAAUCUGAAGAGACUGAGCAGCAAGGGCUUUCAAUUCCUCAACUCCCUUCAAUCUCUGCAACUCUCUAGAUGUCCAAAGCUAGCAUUCAUUCCAGAGGAGGGUCUGCCUCCUUCACUUGGUCAGCUUAUCAUCUAUAAGUGUCCUGUGCUAAAAGUGAGAUGCCAACCAGGAAAAGGACUCUACUGGCACAAAAUAUCCAACAUCCCUAAAAUAGAGAUACAUGAAGCUAAUGGUCCAGGUAUCAUCUCUCGAGGAAUGUUUUAAUAUUAAUAUUAUUAUUAUUAUUAUUAUUAUUAAUCAUGUUUAUUCUUGUAAAGUAAUCCACAAUAUUUGGUUUGGGUCAAGGUUUUGGGGGUUGAGGAGUGGCUGCUUUAGGAGGCCUUCAAUUGGCGACAACCUGGAUACUUCUCGGCCAACGUUUCUUCUCCCGGAUUCCUAUGUUUGCUGAUAGCACUACCCUUUCAAAUUUUAUUAGGUCGAGCUUUUUUCAAUUUUCAAAUUUAAACAUUUUUUUGGGUCAACAGUCCAAUAAUUCGAACUUGUUUUAUCUUUCAUUAAGAUAAUUCUACCAAAAACCUGACCUCAUUUUGUAUCAAGCUUGAGCUUUUAUGAAAUCAUUUGAGUCAAACUUGAGCACAUAUUUACGAGCUUUAUUUGGGACUGACCGAAUUUGAAUCUUGAGCAAUGUUUGUUAAACCAAGGUCAUUUAAUUACGAUCUGAGUUAUUAAUAAGUUGUGUUGUUUUGUGUUGGGUUAGUGGGUCUUGCAAGACAUUGCUUGAUGUUUAAAUUUGACAAACAAUAUUUUAUCAAGUUCUUGAUUCUACAAGUAUCCAACUCGUUAAAAGGUUCUUAAUGAGCAGCUUGAUAACGAAUCGACUUGUUAACAUAUUAACUCGAAACCUGCUAUUUUUAUGUUGUUUUAUAUCGAAUUAACGGGUCGUGUAAAAAAUUAUCAAACCUAACCGGAUCAUGCCAAACUAUUGAUGGUCAAUGACUUAUUUGAAAGUGAUUUUAAAGUGACUGAAAUUGAUUUCAGAUUCCAAAAACACUUUUUAAGUGCUUUUUGGAAUAAUCUUGGGCGUCUCCACCCAUUGCCAAUUGGUUUCGGGUUGGAUGCUCAAUUUGUAAUUAGAAUAACAGGUAUUGUUGUUUUUUUUUAUUAUCUUUCAUUGUUUGAGUGGGGGAUAUAAUCUUUAUACAAAUUGCUUCCUCAUGGUUUUUAUGACUGGUUUCUGUAUCUACUUUUAAUGCUUAGUACAUUAAGGGCAUCGGGUACUUCCUAAGUUCUCAUGGUCAAGUGUUUGUAUGGUUCUGUAUGUAUGUUUGUGAUCUUCAUCCCGACUUUGAAUGCGUAAACUAGAUGGAUGAAGAGGUUUUGUUGUUAUUGCCUUGCCCAACACAAGGAUUUCUUUAAGGGCUAAAUAGAUUUCUUUUAACUGGGUUCUUAUGUCUUCGACGAAGGUUAGAGUUCUUUAUCCUUUUUGGUAUUUCAGUCAAUUGGUGUAUCUUUCGACAUCUGUGCUAAGUGCUUCGUGAAAAUUGAUAUAUGUUGUCUAAAUGGUUGUGUUUCAGUUGCCUUUUCUGAGCUUCUUCCUUCCUGUCUGAUAUCUAUUUUCUAUCCUUCGUCAUAGGAUAUUAGCUCCAUGGUGUGCUGGUUGCUUUAUGUUUGUAUAUUCUCGUGUUUUUUCAUUACAGUGUUGAACUCAGUGAAAUGCUAGUAUGAAUUGGAGUGGUUCCCAUUGUCUUUGAGUGAUUCCUAUCACAACAAUCAGGGAGGAAAUCCCUCUCUUUUUUUCACUCUAGGACUAUCCAAAAGAUGCAGCACUGAAGAAGAGUUAGGACUUUAACUCAGUGUCGCAAAAACCUACUACCAAGAGAAAGUUUGUAAGCACUUAUGUUCCGACUCAGAUCCUUACCAAAGUUUUUUUGAAAGUUGAAAUGAUAUAGCACUAGGCCCAAGGUUGAGAGCAGGUUAGAAUUGUUAGAUUGGUGUUUGGCAUGUAAAGACUAGUGGUAUGAUAUUGGGGUACGUUUUUAGGUAUAUGGGGCCAGUACCUGUAAGCUUGAAGACAACCUAAAUAUGCCCGGGAUGUAACAGAGUGCUUGCCUAUACUUCUGUUUUUGUAGUUAAGAGAACGUAAUUGCUUAGCAAUCAUUAAAUUUGUAUACUUAUUACUUGGGUGCCCUCUGCCUUGCUAUGCUGCAUAACAAUGAGAAUAUAUUACGGAAUUCUAACAGGAAAAAGGCAGGGGACUCCCAAAAUUUGGUGAAUGGGACGUCAAUGAUCCUGCUUCGGCUGAGGGGUUUACUGUGAUCUUUAACAAGGCUAGGGAUGAGAAGAAGACAGGUGGAAAACCCGAGUCACCAGGAAAGGUUGAUCCUAAUAUCAGGCAUGGAGGAGGAGUGGAUCCUGGCACUAGCAGGCCUUCGUCUGUAAGAUUUUUUCUCAUAACUGUUGUCGUUUCUUUCUCUAAUGAUUUGAUAUAUACAUGGGUCAGCCAAUAGAAAUACAUUCUUUGCGGUUUUCUUAGUUGCAAGUUAUUGCUUUUCAAGUGACGUUGGUAGUACAAAAUACAACUAUAUGUAACACUGACUUAUCGAUCAAACUCAGCAUACCAUUUGAUGUGAAAAUCAAUGCAACUGACUUAUAUAGAACUCUAGUAAGGAAAUGUGGCAAAAGACAUAUCUAAUGUUAGGGCCAAGAUAUUUGAAAAAUAAAAGAGCACAAGAUGAUUCGGCUGUUUUAUCUGGAUUAUUCCAUGCAAGUGGAAUUGGCAUACAUUAACUCGGGUUCUGUCUCCUUUUAGACAGAUGUAGCCUAAUAGGAAUAUUUGUUUGUUUUAUUGUGAAUAAUUGAAAGAACCAAUGGCCCUGGAAAUAUUUGCUUUUGUCAAUUGAUCAUUGUGUGACCUUUUCGUUUUUUCUAUGCGUUUUCUGUACCUGCUGCGUUUCCAAUAGUAGACUAAUAGAAUGAAUAACUGGAGGUGAUUAUUUCUGCUGCCAAAAUCUAAUAUGCUUAAAUUCCUCACUCUUUGCGGAUGAUUUGAUUUGGUUUGAUUUCCUGAUGCACAGAAAAAAUGGUUUUGCUGCAUUCAUCAACCACCGGCAGAGUUUUGACAAUGUUGUUCUCCUAAGUGCUUCGAUGGAGGAGCACGAUGUUCUGUAACUGGCUCCACUAUAUUUCCUCACUUAAUCUAUGUCUAUGAAAUUGGCAGCUAGGGAAGUGAAGUUUGAAGCAAUGGUUAGCAGUUUGCCUAAGGAAAUCGUACAUGAUAUCCUUUUGAGACUACCUCCUAAAGCUUUGAUCAGAUGCACCUCGGUGUCCAAGCCUUGGAACUCCAUGAUAAAAAGUCCAAGCUUUAUUCGCACCCACCUCAGCCUUACCAUCGAUUUUAACCAGUUUGGCACCCACCAACUCCUUCUGCAUUGUGUUCGUGGAGACAAUCCAGUGGAGCAGAAUUACUAUUUGCAUUAUGAUAACCAUGCUUUUGAUGAGUACUGCAAGCUAGAGUAUCCAAGUGUUCCCAAGCGCAAUAGAUUUCUUCGUGUGGUCGGAAUGCGAGGAUCCGAAUGCUUUUUAUGAGGCUUAUUCACUUGCUAGAGGCUUGUGGAGUAGUCCUCGUUCUUUUGAUCCCGUUUGUAAAGUUUUAUUCUUGCAAAUUUCAGGCUUUUGUGAACGGGGCAGUUCAUUGGCUGGCAUGGCGCUGCUUGAACGAUGGUCGUUAUCAAAAUUUCAUUUUAGCAAUUGAUGUGGACGGUGAGUUAUUUUGCGAGAUAAGGGUGCUAAAGAGUUUCAGACAGGAUGAACCAUUAGAUUAUCACUUGUCUGUUUCAGGUGAUGGAAACUCCAUUGCUAUGUUCACGACGACGCGUGGUCGUAAUUGUCCUGAGGAUUUUCUUGACAUAUGGGUGAUGAAAGAGUAUGGCAUCGAGGAUUCAUGGGCCAAACUGAUAACUCU